GACGAACGCUGGCGGCGUGCUUAACACAUGCAAGUCGAACGGAAAGGCCCUGCUUGCAGGGUACUCGAGUGGCGAACGGGUGAGUAACACGUGGGUGAUCUGCCCUGCACUUCGGGAUAAGCCUGGGAAACUGGGUCUCAUACCGGAUAGGAGCCAUUUUUAGUGUGAUGGUUGGAAAGUUUUUUCGGUGUAGGAUGAGCUCGCGGCCUAUCAGCUUGGUGGUGGGGUAAUGGGCUACCAAGGCGGCGACGGGUAGGCGGCCUGAGAGGGUGGACGGCCACAAUGGGACUGGGAUACGGCCCAGACUCCUACGGGAGGCAGCAGGGGGGAAUAUUGCACAAUGGGCGCAAGCCUGAUGCAGCGACGCCGCGUGGGGGAUGACGGCCUUCGGGUUGUAAACUCCUUUCGCUAGGGACGAAGCUGUUUGUGACGGUACCUAGAUAAGAAGCACCGGCUAACUACGUG
RNAcentral lists this ribosomal RNA (465 nucleotides) under uncultured bacterium. Its description in RNAcentral is "partial 16S ribosomal RNA". It matches the Rfam family "Bacterial small subunit ribosomal RNA", at positions 28 to 507 of the family's 1533-position model. The record is from RNAcentral.